AAAUUGAAGAGUUUGAUCAUGGCUCAGAUUGAACGCUGGCAGCAGGCCUAACACAUGCAAGUCGAACGGUAACAGGAAGCAGCUUGCUGACAGUAGCGGAGACUGGUGAAGUAAUGGCGCAGAAACUGCCUGAUGGAGGGAUAACUACUGGAAACGGUGGCUAAUACCGCAUAACGUCGCAAGACCAAAAGAGGACCUUCAGACUCUUUGCUGCCAUCCACAGAUGUAGCAGAUGGGAUUAGCUUUGUUGGUGAGGUAACGCCGACCGCAAAGGCGACGAUCUAACUGGUCUGAGAGGAUGACCAGCCACACUGGAACUGGAGACACGGUCAGGCUCCUACGGGAGGCAGCAGUAGAGAAUAUUGCUGUACGGGCGCAAGCCUGAUGCGACCAUGCCGCGUGUAUAGAAGAAGGCGCUUCCGGGUUGUAAAGUACUUUCAUGGGAGGUGUUGUGAUUUGGCAGCCAGCAGUGGCGUUACGCACAGAGAAAACUUACCGAAGCACAAUAACUCCGUACUUAGCAGCCGCGGUAGCCACGGAGAGUGCAAGCGUUAAUCGGAAUUACUGGGCGUAAAGCGCACGCAGGCGUGCAUCCAAGUCGGAUGGCAAAAUCCCGGGCUCAGCACAGAACUGCAUUCAAAACUGGCGAGCUUGAGUCUUGUAGAGGGGUAGAAUUCGAGGUGCCGGCGGGAGGAAAUGCAUGCAAGAGAUCUGGAGAAUACUGCGGUGGCGAAAGGCGGCCUGAGACGAGAACUGCGGCGGCUCAGGUGCAGCGUGGGGAACAAACACAGGAUUAGAUACACUGGUGAAGAGGUCACGCCGUAAACGAUACUUGGAGGUUACGUACUGCGCCCCGAGGUGUGGCUUCCAGGAGCUAACGCGUUAAGUGAGCCGCACAGGGAAUUACGGCCUGAAGAUUUGAAAGCUCAAAAUAAUUGACGGGGCCGCGCGCAAGCAAUUUGGAGCAUGUGGUUUAAUUCGAUGCAACGCGAAAAGAACCUUACACAGUCUUGACAUCACGAAAGGAACUUUCCAGGAUGGACUGGUGCCUUCGGGAACUGUGAACAGGUGCUGCGCUGGCGCCGUCGCUCGUGUUGUGAAAUGUUGGGGUUGCAGAAUUACACAACAGAGGCACGCCCUUAUCGCUGUUGCCAGCGGUUAGGUCGAGAACUCAAGAACUGCCUGGCCAGUAAACUGGAGGAAGGUGGGGAUGACGUCAAGUCAUCAUGGCCUUACGACGGGGCUACACGUGCUACAGUAGCGCAUACAAAGAAGGCGACCUCGCGAGAGCAAGAAGCGAGGACCUCCAUAAAAGGGUAAGGAAUGUAGUCGGAUUGGAGUCUACCUUCGAAACUCCAUGAAGUCAGAAUCGCUAAUGUCGUGGAUCAGAAUGCCACGGUGAAUACGUUCCCGGAGCGCAGCACACACCGCCCGUCACACCGUAAGAGUGGGUUGCAAAAAGAAGUAGGUAGCAGCAACCUUCGGGAGGCGCUUACCACUUUGUGAUUCAUGACUGGGAGUGAAGUCGUAACAAGGCAGCAAAUGGGGAACUGCGGUUGGAUCACCUCUCCG
This 1572-nucleotide ribosomal RNA is filed under the name Salmonella enterica subsp. enterica. RNAcentral's name for it is "bacterial SSU rRNA". It matches the Rfam family "Bacterial small subunit ribosomal RNA". Lineage: Bacteria; Pseudomonadati; Pseudomonadota; Gammaproteobacteria; Enterobacterales; Enterobacteriaceae. The record is from RNAcentral.